AUACUUACCUGGACGAGGUCGAUGGGUGAUCAAAAAGGCCCAUGGCCUAGGGUAGCGACCUCCAUUGCACUUGGGAGGGGUGCUAUCCUAAGUUCUACCCAAGUGGUGGAGUCUACGUCAUAAUUUGUGACAGCGGAGGCCUGCGUUCGCGCAGCCUCUA
Molecule: small nuclear RNA, 160 nt
Organism: Arachis stenosperma
Lineage: Eukaryota; Viridiplantae; Streptophyta; Magnoliopsida; Fabales; Fabaceae
Product: U1 spliceosomal RNA
Exons: 1
Source: RefSeq, a predicted model, not a curated record